Molecule: long non-coding RNA, 1686 nt
Filed under: Mus musculus (house mouse)
Lineage: Eukaryota; Metazoa; Chordata; Mammalia; Rodentia; Muridae
Description: long non-coding RNA chr13:113814049-113815735
Source: RNAcentral
CACACACACACACACACACACACACACACACACAAUGUGUACACAAGAGCACACACAUGUGCACACCAGAGUGUAUUGGGAUCACUGAUUUGAUUUUUUUUCCCCAUUUGUUUUAAACUUGUCUUUAUUGUUGCUGCUGCUGCUCAAAUCCAGACUGUCUAGGGCAUGGUCGCCGGGGAAAAGAUGAUUUGUCGUAGUGCAGUGAUAUGGAAAUAAUAGAGUAACCCUGUGUGAACGCCCUCCUAAAAGGGGCUGUGGCAAAGGAGAUAAAAAUUAACAAGGCUUUCUGUUUUGCUAAGUGACGGUUUAAUCUUUGUUGAUUUGCCUGAUGAGAAAACUUAGUAACUUCAAGGUCGUUCAUCUGAAGCCCAGUGUUCGGUGUUGAAAUAUCUGAGGAGACCUGCUCGUUCUUAACAUAUUCUGUGAGGAAGAGGACAUCCCUUCAGUUUGGGGAGAAGAAAACCCCCAAACUCCUCUGCAAACCCUUGUGCCUGACUUCUCUUUCAACAAAUACAUAUUAGAGACCUUACUGUGUGGCCAGGCACUCGCUAAUACAGGGAAGGAAGGCCCUUUUAGCUAAGACUGGAGCCUGUUCCGUUGAAUAUCCUCUACUUCUUUGCGAUGGAGAAAUCCCAGAUUAUAGGGUACAACCUGGUGGACACACUUCCUUUUGAAAAGGGGUCAGCUGGUAACUGGGUAGGCUUUAGGAGUCAGACAUUCUGUCUCAGCUUUUCAGUUCCAUUAUUGUAGUUACAAAAGCAGCCACAGAUAUUAAACGUGUUUACCACAUUAACAGACAGAGGACAAAAUUUGGUCUGCAGAAUGUAGUUUCCCAAUCACAAAGAUUGGGCUGAUAGAAGAAGAAGAGAAGCCAUAUUGCAGCUAUUUCUCAUUGAGUUGAGUUUUUGUUUCUGUACUUUGAGAGCACACACACUCGAGCACAUACACAUGUAUAUAUGCAUGCAUGUAUGUAUAUAUGUGUAUAUGUGUGCUACCUAUGCAUACAUAUGAGGUCACUUGGUUGAUCAGCGGUUAUAGUGAUUUGAAGAACACACACUGGCCUCUGUGACUCCGGAACUGUACCUUUGAGGUGAGGGCCAGAAUGAAAGGGAGGCCAUGGGCCGGGGAGACCUGUCUUCUGGUUUGUGGUUUGCUCAGUUGCCUAGAGUAGGAGCUGGCCACCUGGCCGAACCAUCACGGGAGAGCUCCAGGUAUAAGGCUAUCGAUGGAAUUAGCCAGUUCCUCUUUAGCAUGCCGUGUUUAGACGCAGCGUGACGCAGCGUGACGCAGGACUUCCAAUGUUCCUUUUCAGCAGUGGACUUCUUUCUUCCCACCCGUGUCUGUGUAGAAUUAUAAAACAAGCUCUUUUACCCUAGAGCUGUUAGUAAUUGCUAUUCUCUUUCUAUUACUGAGAACAGGCUGUUUUAGAUUAGCACGGAAACUGAACUAGGUUGUAGAGACUGGGUCUGGAAAUGCAGCUCACUGGUUCUGUGCUUACCCAGCAUUCGUGAGUUCAAUACCCAGUGCUGGAAACAACAAACAAACAAACAGAACCAAAACCGGGCAAGGCUCAGUGUUGGAGCAUUUGCCACCUGGUAAGCUGUGGAGACUUGAUACCAGAAGGUUCAUAUUCUAGGUGAUUCGGUUCAGCAGUUUGUUCUUUUAGUUUUGGUGUGGUUACUAAGG